UACGUAGGGUGCAAGCGUUGUCCGGAAUCACUGGGCGUAAAGCGCGCGCAGGCGGCGAUCUACGUCUGGGGUGAAAGCCCGGAGCUCAACUCCGGGACUGCCUUGGAUACGGGAUCGCUUGAGGAUUGGAGAGGCAAGGGGAAUUCCACGUGUAGCGGUGAAAUGCGUAGAGAUGUGGAGGAACACCUGUGGCGAAGGCGCCUUGCUGGCCAAUUACUGACGCUGAGGCGCGAAAGCGUGGGGAGCGAACAGG
Molecule: ribosomal RNA, 253 nt
Filed under: uncultured bacterium
Lineage: Bacteria
Description: partial 16S ribosomal RNA
Rfam family: Bacterial small subunit ribosomal RNA
Source: RNAcentral